CAUAUAAUAAACCAUACAUUAUCUUAUCAUUGAGAUAGAACACUCAUUCUUUUUCUUUUCUUUCUUUGCUGAGGAAGAUUCAACCUGAGCUAACAUCUGUGCCAAUCUUCCUCUGCUUUUUGCUUGUGGAUUGCUGCUGCAACAUGGCCACAGACAAGUGGUAUAGAUCCGUGACUGGGAACUAAACCCAGGCCACUGAAGCAGAGAGUGCCGAACUUAAUCACUAGGCCAUGGGGCCGGCCCCAGAGUGCUCAUUCUUCUUCAAGGUGAAUGGCGAAAUAAACUGGCACAGUCAUACCAUGGAAUGCAGCAAUAAAAAUGAGUAAGCUAUUGAUACACACAAGAACUUGGAUGGCUCUUUCAAGGACAUUAUGUGGAGUGUGAAAAGGCAAAUGAUUCACUCAUCUCAGCCUCAUCCUGGACCUAGGAAAUAACCACUUGGCACACAUAUAGGCACAGAGCUUUCGAAGUCAAAUUAUUUUACAUGAUUAUGGAAAGAAGAUUCUCUGCCCUCUGCCCCUCUCAACUUUCACCACUGUACAGAAGUAAUCAUCUUGAAGAAUUUUCCAAUCUUUUCUCAGUUUGAGCGAAUAAUGAAAAUUUUAUCAUAUGCUUCAUACGCAUCAUUUCAAAUCUUCUUGACCUCACCUCAACUCCAACCACUGCUGAAGAAACCAACUCUGUUUCCUGCAGGCACAACUUGACAGCACCUUGUUUCUAAGAUGUGCUUCAUUCUUUUUCUUCCUGCCUUGGGGCUCAGAGAUAAUGCACAAGCAACCUGGAGGUGGGGGAUUUGUUAAACUCUAUAGGGCCAGAUUUGACCAUUGAUAGAUAAUGUUUCCCCCAAUUUUCUCCAUGGAUGAAAGUCUUGGUUGUUCCAUCAAGCAAGCAAGACACACUAGUCAAAGUAUUGGGCUGUGGUUGAAAAAAUUCUGCAUUGAGUGGUGGAAGAUGAAGAAGAUGGAUAUAAAUUCUUCUAAAAGAAACUAGUAAGUUACAGGCAGGAUUAAUAGAGGUCUUAUGUGCAAAAAAAGGGAAGUAAAUUU
This 1046-nucleotide long non-coding RNA is filed under the name Equus caballus (horse). Its description in RNAcentral is "lncRNA (ENSECAG00000044439.1)". The record is from RNAcentral. Lineage: Eukaryota; Metazoa; Chordata; Mammalia; Perissodactyla; Equidae.